Molecule: ribosomal RNA, 253 nt
Filed under: uncultured bacterium
Lineage: Bacteria
Description: partial 16S ribosomal RNA
Rfam family: Bacterial small subunit ribosomal RNA
Source: RNAcentral
GACGUAGGGCGCGAGCGUUGUCCGGAUUUAUUGGGCGUAAAGAGCUCGUAGGCGGCUUGUCGCGUCGACUGUGAAAUCCCGAGGCUCAACUUCGGGCUUGCAGUCGAUACGGGCAGGCUAGAGUUCGGUAGGGGAGACUGGAAUUCCUGGUGUAGCGGUGAAAUGCGCAGAUAUCAGGAGGAACACCGGUGGCGAAGGCGGGUCUCUGGGCCGAUACUGACGCUGAGGAGCGAAAGCAUGGGUAGCGAACAGG